CCUACGGGUGGCAGCAGUGGGGGAUAUUGCACAAUGGGGAAACCCUUAUGCAGCGACGCCGCGUGGGCGAAGAAGUAUUUCGGUAUGUAAAGCCCUAUCAGCAGGGAAGGAGAAAUGACGGUUCCUGAGUUAGAAGCACCGGCGAAAAACGUGACAGCCGCCGCGGUAAGACGUAUGGUUCCAGCGUUAUCCGGAUUUACUGGGUGUAAAGGGAGCGGAGGCGGCACGGCAAGCCUGAUGUGAAAGCCCGCGGCCCAACCGCGGGACUGCAUUGGGAACUACCGGGCUGGAGUGCCGGAGAGGUAGGCGGAAUUCCCAGUGUAGCGGUGAAAUGCGUAGAUAUUAGGAGGAACACCAGUGGCGAAGGCGGCCUACUGGACGGUGACUGACGCUGAGGCUCGAAAGCGUGGGGAGCAAACAGGAUUAGAUACCCUAGUAGUC
This 441-nucleotide ribosomal RNA is filed under the name uncultured bacterium. Its description in RNAcentral is "partial 16S ribosomal RNA". It matches the Rfam family "Bacterial small subunit ribosomal RNA", at positions 338 to 795 of the family's 1533-position model. The record is from RNAcentral.